UCACCCCCAGUGUUGACAGUGUGUGUGUCCCCAUCGGGGAGGUCACGCAUCUCUGACAUGUACUGGCAUGUGCA
Molecule: non-coding RNA, 74 nt
Organism: Eptesicus fuscus (big brown bat)
Lineage: Eukaryota; Metazoa; Chordata; Mammalia; Chiroptera; Vespertilionidae
Source: Rfam